UUAAAUUGAAGAGUUUGAUCAUGGCUCAGAUUGAACGCUGGCGGCAGGCCUAACACAUGCAAGUCGAACGGUAGCACAGAGAGCUUGCUCUCGGGUGACGAGUGGCGGACGGGUGAGUAAUGUCUGGGAAACUGCCUGAUGGAGGGGGAUAACUACUGGAAACGGUAGCUAAUACCGCAUAAUGUCGCAAGACCAAAGAGGGGGACCUUCGGGCCUCUUGCCAUCAGAUGUGCCCAGAUGGGAUUAGCUAGUAGGUGGGGUAACGGCUCACCUAGGCGACGAUCCCUAGCUGGUC
RNAcentral lists this ribosomal RNA (295 nucleotides) under Enterobacter cloacae. Its description in RNAcentral is "partial 16S ribosomal RNA". It matches the Rfam family "Bacterial small subunit ribosomal RNA", at positions 1 to 292 of the family's 1533-position model. The record is from RNAcentral. Lineage: Bacteria; Pseudomonadati; Pseudomonadota; Gammaproteobacteria; Enterobacterales; Enterobacteriaceae.